Long non-coding RNA from Mastomys coucha (southern multimammate mouse), 569 nucleotides. RefSeq lists it as uncharacterized. NCBI's taxonomy places the organism in Eukaryota, Metazoa, Chordata, Mammalia, Rodentia, Muridae. The record is from RefSeq and is a predicted model, not a curated record. The transcript is spliced from 4 exons.
GCAGUACCAGCCCCACGUGUUUAGUGAUGGCGGUGGAAAAUGGACUCAUACAAUCAUUUUUCCAACCCUUCUUCCUUUCUUUUCUCCGAAAGGACAAGAAGAAGAAUAUCACUGUAUAGAAGAGAGAAGGAGUUGGACGGCAGGCUCCACAGAGAGACACAGUGGAGCUUUUAUCUGUGCCAGGCUAGUUCAAUUAAAAUCUUCUUCACUUCAAAACACACAGACAAAAGCACAUAGAGUACUCCUGUUGUGACCCACCACAUAAAUUGCAUGAGACUGAAUUUUUUGAUGCUACCAGAGUCUACAGAUUUUACCAGGUACAUUCUGAAAUUGAAGAGGAAAAGGACAGUAGAGGAAGGCGAUGUGGAUUUACCAGAAGAUCCCGGUGGACAGCUCACUCUGGCCAAUGGGGUCUUUGCCCCACAUGAAUGAUAAUUGAGUAGACAGUUGUAUUGGACUGUUAGUAAGGUCUGGGAGACUGUAAUAUUUUGUGGAUAUAUAUGUGCGGACAGAAAGCAUAAGCAUGGACCCCAGGGGAACGUGCUAUGUGAUUAAACAUAUGCAACGGA